Molecule: non-coding RNA, 3489 nt
Organism: Phoenix dactylifera (date palm)
Lineage: Eukaryota; Viridiplantae; Streptophyta; Magnoliopsida; Arecales; Arecaceae
Source: RefSeq, a predicted model, not a curated record
UCCCCUUUUUUUUAAUGGUUUCCAUCUAGUUCUACACUUACGGAGGCCCCUCCUGGCUCCCACUCCCGACCUGUCUCUCUCCUCUCCUUCCACCUUCCUCCACUUCUCGAACCGAAUACAUCGCGACCAAAGCUUUUGCCAUAUCCAAACCCUAGCUGUCCUCGAUUGCUCUCCGCGCUUUGAUGCCCUUCUUCUCAUGAACCCUAAUCGUUCCGAACCCUAACUGUCCUCAAUUCUCGUAGCGGUCGCUUAGAAGGUCCGCAAUCCCUCGCCGCAACGGGUUUUCUCGUGAGGAGAGGACGGAUGCGUCCGGAGUCGAUGCAUUUUGUCGUGAUUUCUUCCCCAUUGGUGAUCUCAUAAAGAUAAGCAUGCUUCCUUUUUUUUUUUCUAGAUUUCAUCAACUUGCCUCUAAUUCCAAUUCCUCCUUUUUGUUCCCUGCCUUUAUUUUUGGUACCUCAUUAAUAAAAAGCGAACUUUUGGCCACAACUCUAGGGUUGGAAGAUAAUGAUUUAGUUAGUUAAUGGUAUUUAAGUUGGAUGACACAAAAAUCUCAAUUUUUUUAGAACAAUCAUGCAAUUUGGCCCAGUUUGGUCCAUAUUCUUUAUACCAUAUUAACAAGCACGCAAUUUAAACGUGCCGCAUAAACUAGAAAAUGAGUGAAUUUGUUAAGCUGGCAUUCUCAGAUCUUGAGUUGUUGAGUUAUUUUAAUAGGUAAUAAUAUUCUGAUUGGAUAUAUGAACUAGGACUUAUUGGUACACGGCCCAAGUAUUUUAGGAUCUAGAUACUUAAAGUGCCGUGGGUUGCCUUCCCUUUUUCUCUCAUUUCACAGCUCUGGGAUGGUUUGUGUCAAGCUCUACUUGACUUUCUUAUAAAAAUGUCUUGCAAGGCAGUAAAGUCAACCACCAGUACAUCUCAAUUUUUAUGCCUGGACUUGUUUAAACCAAGUAAACUCUCAUUACAAGCUCUAGUAGCUGGAAUGCCAUAUUCUUAUGUAGUUAUUUAUAUAUCUAUAUGGCUCCAUAUCUAAACUAUCAGAAAAUAAUACCCCUUUUUACAGAAUCUUCCUUGCUGUCCAAGGGAUCAUAUUGGUUAGUACCGACAGGCUGAAGAGAUGGGAACAGCUCAGUAGCCAUAAGCACACUGGGUAAUCUACCGUCAACCACCUCCAACAUUACUUAAGUUUGCUGCAUUCUCCCAAGAAGGCCUUAAUGUAAGGGAUUUAGUAGUUCUACAAGGUGAAGGAAAAUGGAGGGCUUACUCUUUAAGGUGGAUUUCAAGAAGGCUUAUGAUCUUCUUGACUGGGACUUCUUGCUUGCUAUCCUGCAUGCCCGAAGUUUGGGAAGACGUGGAUUAAUUGGGCCUAUAGCUGUGUUUGCAUUUCAAAGAUUGCAGUUCUGGUGAAUGUCAAGUUGGGCAGCACCUUUCCUUGUAAACACUGGCUGAGGCAGGCAACCCCAAUUCAUGAUUGGUUUGUGUUUGCUGUGGAUGUCUUACAUCAAAUGCUCAAUUGGCUGAGGAAACUAGAUUGAUCAAGGGUCUUGGAGAUAAGCUAGCGGCCGGUGGGGUUAUCAAUAUGCAAUAUGCAGAUGGUACCUUGCGUUUUACAAAGCUCAGGAGGAGUUUGUGGCCGGCCUUAAAUUGGCUCUCUAUUGUUUUGAAGGCCUAUCUUGGUCCCAUCAAAACAGAAGGCCUAUCUGGGCUCAGGGUGAAUUUUCACUAGAUUGAGUUGGUUUUCCUUGGCUGCAGGGAUGACUGGGGACACUGACUUGCAAGACUAAUGAAUUGCAAGCAGCAAUUUCUACUUCUAAAUUUUUUUGGGGCUACCAUUGAUCAACAAAAAGCUAAGUCAUGAGGAUAGGGACCAGGUGAUCGAGAUGGUGGACUCCACGCCUGCUGGUUGGAAAUGACACAUUAUCUUAUGGUGGUCGUUUAAUGCUACUCCAGUCUAACUUCAGCAUUCUUGAUGUACUUCAUGUCAUUUUUCCUGAUGCCUGCUUGUUAUCUGGCUUAUCGAUGCUAUAUGCUGCCGCCUUUUCUCUUGGCAAGGAUGUCCGCUCAACUGCAGGCCGGUGAGUUCAGUUUCUUGGGUCAAGUCUGCAAGACUAGAGAGCAGGAAGGUCUUGGCACUGUGAACCUAAGGGAGUUCAACUUGGUGUGGAAGUGGCUUUGACAAGUAGUGUAAGAAGUGAAUGCUCCUUGGGUUGCCUUGAUUUGAGGUGCAUAUUAGCGGUGUUUGCUGCCAUGAGAUUUCAAACUCUGUUGCUCUCAAAGAGUUCCUAAUUUUGGAAAGAUGUACUUAAAGUGGCCCCCAGUUUCUCUUGCAGUUUAAAACCAAGGUUGGAAGCUAUGUUCUGGAAGGAUAAACAGGCUGGAGAUUCUGCACUUGCUGCGAGGCUCCCUUGUCUAUAUGUUGCUGCUUGGAAACCAGAUGGUUGGGUAGCUGAGUUUUGUAAGCAGAGUGAGGGCAGUCUGUUUUGGAACCCAAAUGUUAAAGGCACCUCUAAGAUCCAGCCUCGGCAGCAAGCUCUGUUUGCAUUGCUCCAGUUCUUGAAUAUCGUUUCUGAUUUGUUUCACCACUCCCUGUUUGCUUGGAAGUGGGGUGCCAAGGGCUUCUUCGUUUCCGUCCGUGGUUCUUUUCAGUUUCUGAAUAGCAGUGGGCUUCUGAGCUCAACUGUGAGAAGCUUAUGGCAGAGAAAAAAGGUUUCUGCUGGCGAGAUCCGGAGUUAGCCGAUCACAUGUUCCUUUGACGUCAGUUUGGUAGACCUGUUCGGCUCUCUUAGAAACUUUAAAUUCUAGUUGAAGGGUUGGCCUGGCUCUCUAUGGUCUCUGUCGACCGAACCUUGCAAGCAAAGGGUGCUCGCUAAGAUACAGAUGGAUUAUGAUUGCUUCCCCUUUGCUGUGCUGGGCUAGAUAACUUGAAUGCAUGCCAGAAUUUUUACACAAGGAGAAGAUCAGGAGAGUGCUCUUCAAACCCUUCACUCCAUUAAUGACUUCAUCUCUGAAUGGACAGGUGCUGAUCCGAUUCGAGGAAAGAAAGGGAGCCAUGCCAGGGAUGAUCUUGCCUGCGUCCCGCUUCCCUGUGCUGCCCCUUCUCAACCUCAUCCACCUCCAAGGGUAGGUGACUGUUGUUUCUGUGUUGCUAGCUUUUCUCUGCUGGGGAUGAGGGGAGACAGUUUUCUUGAUACCAUGAUUCUCUAGCGUUUUCUUUUGUUUUUAUGCUGCGUGGGAUGGCCUGGUUGGGCUUUGGGGGCUUUCGGUUGGUACUUUUGGUUUGUUGUGCACAAGAGGGUCACCCAGGAGUCUAUCCAGGAGGGAGCUGGCAUGCAAAACUCAUUUCAUUUCUUCUUUCUUUCUUUCUUCUUAUUUUUCUUCCGUUUUUUAUUUUUAUUUUUUGAUGUAAAGGGGAGGCAAAAGGGGCCACCUGACUUUUAUUGAAAAUUAAUUGUAUUUACAAUAAAGAUGAGGGGCAGAGAUGAGUUACAUUGUCAA